AGUGGGAACACAUUCGAACUUGAUUACGUAGUUCAGAGAUCGAGCUAGAGCCCUCUUCUCUAGUUAAGGAACAGACUUCCUGGAAGCGGUUAAGCCGUAGAUAAGAACAUCGUUUCCGUAAAGCAUAGCGAUCUCUGUGAUGUCUCGUAUUCUCUGCACGACCCCAGAAAAAUUAAUGAAGGUUAUAA
Molecule: non-coding RNA, 188 nt
Filed under: Angiostrongylus costaricensis
Lineage: Eukaryota; Metazoa; Nematoda; Chromadorea; Rhabditida; Metastrongylidae
Description: Eukaryotic large subunit ribosomal RNA
Rfam family: Eukaryotic large subunit ribosomal RNA
Source: Rfam by way of RNAcentral